GUUGUAUAGUUAAGUGACUAAGCGUACAAGGUGGAUGCCUUGGCAAUCAGAGGCGAAGAAGGACGUGCUAAUCUGCGAAAAGCUUGGAUGAGUCGAUAAGAGGCGUUUAAUCCAAGAUAUCCGAAUGGGGAAACCCAGUAGAUGAAGAAUCUACUAUCAACAAGUGAAUUCAUAGCUUGUUGAGGCAAACCGGGAGAACUGAAACAUCUAAGUACCCCGAGGAAAAGAAAUCAACCGAGAUUUCGUCAGUAGCGGCGAGCGAAAGCGAAAGAGCCAGUAAGUGAUAGCAGUAUAGUGAGGAGAAUGUGUUGGGAAGCACAAUCAAAGAGGGUGAUAAUCCCGUAUCUAAAAACCAUAUUGUGGUACUAAGCUAACGAGAAGUAGGGCGGGACACGUGAUAUCCUGUUUGAAGAAGGGGGGACCAUCCUCCAAGGCUAAAUACUCCUGAUUGACCGAUAGUGAACCAGUACUGUGAAGGAAAGGCGAAAAGAACCCCGGUGAGGGGAGUGAAAUAGAACCUGAAACCUUGUACGUACAAGCAGUGGGAGCCCCAUCACUUAAUCCGAUUGGAAGGUGAUGAAAAGCAACCGCACUUAAACAAUGGUAAGAGGAGCGAAGCGAGUCAAACCACCCAAAAGAAGCAGUGGGAUUAAGUGAUGGGGUGACUGCGUACCUUUUGUAUAAUGGGUCAGCGACUUAUAUUUUGUAGCGAGGUUAACUGAAUAGGGGAGCCGAAGGGAAACCGAGUCUUAACUGGGCGAGUAGUUGCAAGGUAUAGACCCGAAACCCGGUGAUCUAGCCAUGGGCAGGUUGAAGGUUGGGUAACACUAACUGGAGGACCGAACCGACUAAUGUUGAAAAAUUAGCGGAUGACUUGUGGCUGGGGGUGAAAGGCCAAUCAAACCGGGAGAUAGCUGGUUCUCCCCGAAAUCUAUUUAGGUAGAGCCUUGAGGUGACACCUUUGGGGGUAGAGCACUGUUUCGGCUAGGGGGCCAUCCCGGCUUACCAACCCGAUGCAAACUACGAAUACCAAAGAGUGAUACUCAGGAGACACACGGCGGGUGCUAACGUCCGUCGUGGAGAGGGAAACAACCCAGACCGCCAGCUAAGGUCCCCAAGUCUAUAUUAAGUGGGAAACGAAGUGGGAAGGCUUAGACAGCUAGGAUGUUGGCUUAGAAGCAGCCAUCAUUUAAAGAAAGCGUAAUAGCUCACUAGUCGAGUCGGCCUGCGCGGAAGAUGUAACGGGGCUGAAAUAUAGCACCGAAGCUGCGGCAUCAGAAGUGCGAAUGCUGACAUAAGUAACGAUAAAACGGGUGAAAAACCCGUUCGCCGGAAGACCAAGGGUUCCUGUCCAACGUUAAUCGGGGCAGGGUGAGUCGGCUCCUAAGGCGAGGCUGAAAAGCGUAGUCGAUGGGAAACAGGUUAAUAUUCCUGUACUUGGUAAAGCUGCGAUGUGGGGACGGAGUAGGUUAGGUUAUCGCACUGUUGGAUAUGUGCGUUUAAGUUGGUAGGUGGGAAGUUUAGGCAAAUCCGGGCUUCCUUAACACAGAGAGAUGAUGACGAGGCUCUACGGAGCUGAAGUAACUGAUACCACACUUCCAGGAAAAGCCACUAAGCGAAAGGCUUUACUAAACCGUACUGAAAACCGACACAGGUGGUCAGGUAGAGAAUACUCAGGCGCUUGAGAGAACUCGGGUGAAGGAACUAGGCAAAAUAGCACCGUAACUUCGGGAGAAGGUGCGCCGGCGUAGAUUGUAAGGGCUAGCCCCUGAAGGUUGAACCGGUCGAAGAUACCAGCUGGCUGCAACUGUUUAUUAAAAACACAGCACUCUGCAAACACGAAAGUGGACGUAUAGGGUGUGAUGCCUGCCCGGUGCUGGAAGGUUAAUUGAUGGUGUAAUCGCAAGAGAAGCACCUGAUCGAAGCCCCAGUAAACGGCGGCCGUAACUAUAACGGUCCUAAGGUAGCGAAAUUCCUUGUCGGGUAAGUUCCGACCUGCACGAAUGGCAUAAUGAUGGCCAGGCUGUCUCCACCCGAGACUCAGUGAAAUUGAAAUCGCCGUGAAGAUGCGGUGUACCCGCGGCUAGACGGAAAGACCCCGUGAACCUUUACUAUAGCUUGACACUGAACAUUGAAUUUUGAUGUGUAGGAUAGGUGGGAGACUUAGAAGUAGUCACGCCAGUGAUUAUGGAGUCGACCUUGAAAUACCACCCUUUAACGUUUGAUGUUCUAACGAAGAUGACGAAACGUGGUCUCGGACAGUGUCUGGUGGGUAGUUUGACUGGGGCGGUCUCCUCCCAAAGCGUAACGGAGGAGCACGAAGGUUUGCUAAUCACGGUCGGACAUCGUGAGGUUAGUGCAAUGGUAUAAGCAAGCUUAACUGCGAGACAGACAAGUCGAGCAGGUACGAAAGUAGGUCAUAGUGAUCCGGUGGUUCUGAAUGGAAGGGCCAUCGCUCAACGGAUAAAAGGUACUCCGGGGAUAACAGGCUGAUACCGCCCAAGAGUUCAUAUCGACGGCGGUGUUUGGCACCUCGAUGUCGGCUCAUCACAUCCUGGGGCUGAAGUAGGUCCCAAGGGUAUGGCUGUUCGCCAUUUAAAGUGGUACGCGAGCUGGGUUUAGAACGUCGUGAGACAGUUCGGUCCCUAUCUGCCGUGGGCGUAGGAGAAUUGAUUGGGGCUGCUCCUAGUACGAGAGGACCGGAGUGGACGCACCACUGGUGUUCCGGUUGUGUCGCCAGACGCAUUGCCGGGUAGCUAAGUGCGGAAGAGAUAAGUGCUGAAAGCAUCUAAGCACGAAACUUGCCAAGAGAUGAGUUCUCCCAAUCUAAGAGAUUGUAAGGGUUGUUGUAGACUACGACGUAGAUAGGUCUGGUGUGUAAGUGUAGUGAUAUAUUGAGCUAACAGAUACUAAUUGCCCGAGAGGCUUAACUAUACAACGCUCAAG
RNAcentral lists this ribosomal RNA (2946 nucleotides) under Haemophilus influenzae. Its description in RNAcentral is "bacterial LSU rRNA". It matches the Rfam family "Bacterial large subunit ribosomal RNA". The record is from RNAcentral. Lineage: Bacteria; Pseudomonadati; Pseudomonadota; Gammaproteobacteria; Pasteurellales; Pasteurellaceae.